This 253-nucleotide ribosomal RNA is filed under the name uncultured bacterium. Its description in RNAcentral is "partial 16S ribosomal RNA". It matches the Rfam family "Bacterial small subunit ribosomal RNA", at positions 524 to 776 of the family's 1533-position model. The record is from RNAcentral.
UACGAAGGGUGCAAGCGUUAAUCGGAAUUACUGGGCGUAAAGCGUGCGUAGGUGGUUUGUUAAGUCUGAUGUGAAAGCCCUGGGCUCAACCUGGGAACGGCAUUGGAUACUGGCUUACUAGAGUGCGGUAGAGGGUAGCGGAAUUUCCGGUGUAGCGGUGAAAUGCGUAGAGAUCGGAAGGAACAUCCGUGGCGAAGGCGGCUACCUGGACCAGCACUGACACUGAGGCACGAAAGCGUGGGGAGCAAACACG